CUCUACUCAUGACUUCUUUCUCAGAGCAACUGCUGAGAUGUUUGAUAAUGCCUGGGUGUAAAGCUGAUUCACUACAGCAAGCCUCGUACACUUGGCAGGGCGGCAUCGAUCACUUUGAAAUACCUUCUAAAUAGAAUGACUGAAUUGAUGCAGCUGUUUGGUGCCAUCUGUGGUGUAAAUGUCUUCUGUCUUCCUUCAUGCACAUAUAGAUGAAUUCUCUGUAGUUUCUCCAGAGGUGAUAACGACAAGGCUCCUUCCCUCUGGAAACACAUGCAACUUUGCUGGCAUAAUAGAAACACCGAAAGGGAGAACCAGCAGCAGAUGCAGAUUACUCUUUCGGCAAGUGGAAAGGAAAUACAGAAUCUGGAUUGUCUUCUUGGGACAGAUUUCCUUCAGUGCUGAGUUAGGACAUCUUUGGGAAUAUUUCCUGAGAAGCAGAAGGACUGGGAUAAGCAAGUGGAAACCUAAAGGGGCAGCUGACAACAGAGUGGUGUUGAAGCCGAUUCAUCCUAAAGGGCAGUCCACUCACCCUCACUCAAGAGAACAGAAAGGUGAAGACCAGGGUGAGAGAAAAGAGCUCCCCACCCCGCCCCACAGUGAUUUAGUUGUGGAGAACUUGAGCCAUUUCUGUUUCACUAGCAAAGAAAGGAAAAAGGAAAGGCCAAUACAAAAAGAUUUUAAUUUUAAAUACAAUAUGACUAUAUAUGCAUGCAAAUUAGGUGAGACACUCAGUGUGUCCAAGUUAAAGCAAUGUUUUAAAAACUGUAAUCUGCUUUUUGUAGAGUUCCUUAAUUCCAGUGUGUAUUACAAAAUAUAUGCAGUGUGAAUAAAACCUGAGCUUCUCUAAUAACUCAUUGGUGAAAGUAAUAAACAAUCUUAGUAUAAGUUUCUUAUAAAUAAA
This 901-nucleotide long non-coding RNA is filed under the name Anser cygnoides (Swan goose). RNAcentral describes it as "lncRNA (ENSACDG00005000417.1)". The record is from RNAcentral. Lineage: Eukaryota; Metazoa; Chordata; Aves; Anseriformes; Anatidae.